AAAAAGACAAACCCUGGUUUCCGUGCCCAACGUUUGACCGUCUGUCUUAUUUCAAAUAAUUAUGAAAAAAUUAAAAGACAAGUCACGCAUAAAAUAUUAAUCAUGUUUUAUCAUCUAACAACAAUGAAAAUAUGAAUUACAAAAAAAUUUCAUAUAAGACGGACAGUCAAAGUUGGACACAGAAACCCAGGGUUUGCCUUUUU
RNAcentral lists this microRNA precursor (203 nucleotides) under Oryza sativa Indica Group (long-grained rice). RNAcentral describes it as "MIR812 microRNA precursor family". It matches the Rfam family "MIR812 microRNA precursor family". The record is from Rfam by way of RNAcentral. Lineage: Eukaryota; Viridiplantae; Streptophyta; Magnoliopsida; Poales; Poaceae.